RNAcentral lists this ribosomal RNA (492 nucleotides) under uncultured bacterium. Its description in RNAcentral is "partial 16S ribosomal RNA". It matches the Rfam family "Bacterial small subunit ribosomal RNA", at positions 28 to 507 of the family's 1533-position model. The record is from RNAcentral.
GGUGAACGCUGGCGGUGUGCCUAAUACAUGCAAGUCGAACGGACGCACAGUAAGCGCUUGCUCUUACUGUUGGCGAGUGGCGGACGGGUGAGGCAUGCAUCGGAUUCUACUUUUUCGUGGGGGAUAACGUAGGACCACUUACGCUAAUACCGAAUACGACCUACCGGUUGAUUCAAAGGAUAUUCACACCUUUCGCGUCUCUUUUAGCCGGUGUCGGAUUAGCUAGUUGGCGAGGUAAGGGCCCACCAAGGCGACGAUGCGUAGCUGAUCUGAGAGGGUGAUCGGCCACACUGGAACUGAGACACGGUCCAGACUCCUACGGGAGGCAGCAGUGGGGAAUCUUGCACAAUGGGCGAAAGCCUGACCGAGCAAUGCCGCGUGAGUGAUGAAGGUCUUCGGGUCGUAAAACCCUUUUGUUAGGAAAGAACAUCUGUGGAAGUAAAUGCGGACGUCUUGACGGUACCUAAUCAGAAAGCACCGGCUAACUACGUG